AGAGUUUGAUCCUGGCUCAGGAUGAACGCUGGCGGCGUGCCUAAUACAUGCAAGUCGAGCGAACGGACGAGAAGCUUGCUUCUCUGAUGUUAGCGGCGGACGGGUGAGUAACACGUGGAUAACCUACCUAUAAGACUGGGAUAACUUCGGGAAACCGGAGCUAAUACCGGAUAAUAUUUUGAACCGCAUGGUUCAAAAGUGAAAUACGGUCUUGCUGUCACUUAUAGAUGGAUCCGCGCUGCAUUAGCUAGUUGGUAAGGUAACGGCUUACCAAGGCAACGAUGCAUAGCCGACCUGAGAGGGUGAUCGGCCACACUGGAACUGAGACACGGUCCAGACUCCUACGGGAGGCAGCAGUAGGGAAUCUUCCGCAAUGGGCGAAAGCCUGACGGAGCAACGCCGCGUGAGUGAUGAAGGUCUUCGGAUCGUAAAACUCUGUUAUUAGGGAAGAACAUAUGUGUAAGUAACUGUGCACAUCUUGACGGUACCUAAUCAGAAAGCCACGGCUAACUACGUGCCAGCAGCCGCGGUAAUACGUAGGUGGCAAGCGUUAUCCGGAAUUAUUGGGCGUAAAGCGCGCGUAGGCGGUUUUUUAAGUCUGAUGUGAAAGCCCACGGCUCAACCGUGGAGGGUCAUUGGAAACUGGAAAACUUGAGUGCAGAAGAGGAAAGUGGAAUUCCAUGUGUAGCGGUGAAAUGCGCAGAGAUAUGGAGGAACACCAGUGGCGAAGGCGACUUUCUGGUCUGUAACUGACGCUGAUGUGCGAAAGCGUGGGGAUCAAACAGGAUUAGAUACCCUGGUAGUCCACGCCGUAAACGAUGAGUGCUAAGUGUUAGGGGGUUUCCGCCCCUUAGUGCUGCAGCUAACGCAUUAAGCACUCCGCCUGGGGAGUACGACCGCAAGGUUGAAACUCAAAGGAAUUGACGGGGACCCGCACAAGCGGUGGAGCAUGUGGUUUAAUUCGAAGCAACGCGAAGAACCUUACCAAAUCUUGACAUCCUUUGACAACUCUAGAGAUAGAGCCUUCCCCUUCGGGGGACAAAGUGACAGGUGGUGCAUGGUUGUCGUCAGCUCGUGUCGUGAGAUGUUGGGUUAAGUCCCGCAACGAGCGCAACCCUUAAGCUUAGUUGCCAUCAUUAAGUUGGGCACUCUAAGUUGACUGCCGGUGACAAACCGGAGGAAGGUGGGGAUGACGUCAAAUCAUCAUGCCCCUUAUGAUUUGGGCUACACACGUGCUACAAUGGACAAUACAAAGGGCAGCGAAACCGCGAGGUCAAGCAAAUCCCAUAAAGUUGUUCUCAGUUCGGAUUGUAGUCUGCAACUCGACUACAUGAAGCUGGAAUCGCUAGUAAUCGUAGAUCAGCAUGCUACGGUGAAUACGUUCCCGGGUCUUGUACACACCGCCCGUCACACCACGAGAGUUUGUAACACCCGAAGCCGGUGGAGUAACCUUUUAGGAGCUAGCCGUCGAAGGUGGGACAAAUGAUUGGGGUGAAGUCGUAACAAGGUAGCCGUAUCGGAAGGUGCGGCUGGAUCACCU
This 1540-nucleotide ribosomal RNA is filed under the name Staphylococcus aureus F57021. RNAcentral describes it as "16S ribosomal RNA". It matches the Rfam family "Bacterial small subunit ribosomal RNA". The record is from RNAcentral. Lineage: Bacteria; Bacillati; Bacillota; Bacilli; Caryophanales; Staphylococcaceae.